UCCGGUUGAUCCCGCCGGACCCCACUGCUAUCGGGAUAGGACUAAGACAUGCUAGUUGAGCGCUUCAGCCAAAACGAGGCGCAGCAUACAGCUCAGUAGCACGUGGCUAAUCUGCCCUUAGGAUAGGAACAACCCCGGGAAACUGGGGCUAAUUCCCAAUAGGCGAAGAACUCUGGAAUGAGUCUUCACCCCAAAAGAACCCACGUUACGCUCGUGGGCCUCGCCUAAGGAUGAGGCCGCGGCCGAUCAGGUUGUUGGUGAGGUAAUGGCUCACCAAGCCUUUUACCGGUGCGGGCCGUGAGAGCGGGAGCCCGGAGAUGGGUACUGAGACAAGGACCCAGGCCCUACGGGGCGCAGCAGUCGCGAAAACUUUGCAAUACACGCAAGUGUGACAGGGCUAUCCCGAGUGCCAUCCGCUGAGGAAGGCUUUUACCCAGUCUAGAAAGCUGGGGGAAUAAGGAGAGGGCAAGUCUGGUGUCAGCCGCCGCGGUAAUACCAGCUCUCCGAGUGGUGUGGACGUUUAUUGGGCCUAAAGCAUCCGUAGCUGGCUGGGCAAGUCCCCUGUUAAAUCCACCGAUUUAAUCGUUGGUGUGCGGGGGAUACUGCUCGGCUAGGGGACGAGAGAGGCAAGCGGUAUUCCCGGGGUAGGGGUGAAAUCCUAUAAUCCCGAGAAGACCACCAGUGGCGAAGGCUGCUUGCUAGAACGCGCCCGACGGUGAGGGAUGAAAGCUGGGGGAGCGAACCGGAUUAGAUACCCGGGUAGUCCCAGCUGUAAACGAUGCAGACUAGGUGUUUGGACGGCCACGUGCCGUUCUAGUGCCGCAGGGAAGCUGUUAAGUCUGCCGCCUGGGGAGUACGAUCGCAAGAUUGAAACUCAAAGGAAUUGGCGGGGGAGCACCACAAGGGGUGAAGCUUGCGGUUUAAUUGGAGUCAACGCCGGGA
This 942-nucleotide ribosomal RNA is filed under the name uncultured methanogenic archaeon. Its description in RNAcentral is "bacterial SSU rRNA". It matches the Rfam family "Archaeal small subunit ribosomal RNA", at positions 1 to 923 of the family's 1478-position model. Lineage: Archaea; Methanobacteriati; Methanobacteriota. The record is from RNAcentral.